Molecule: long non-coding RNA, 205 nt
Filed under: Sorghum bicolor (sorghum)
Lineage: Eukaryota; Viridiplantae; Streptophyta; Magnoliopsida; Poales; Poaceae
Description: long non-coding RNA (SBIC_LNC009250)
Source: RNAcentral
UGGUCUGUGGCGUGGCGUCCUCAGCGGCACAAGCAGGCUCGGCCACCCUCUAGUCGGCGGCGUUGUCGGGGUUGACGCCCGACGCCGCGCUAAAGAACAAAGCAGCAUUUUCAAAAAAAAACAAAAACAAUCGCCAAAGUACGUAAGUUGAACACUCACAGGUCUGAUCGACGAUGGGCCGCGGUGAACCUCCUCCUAGCCCUGC